CACCCAAGCGGCUUCAGAGCAUGCUCAUGACACUUCAAAACUACAGUCUCAAAGUUGUCUACAAGCCAGGGCCUAAAAUGUUCAUCUGUGACAUGUUGAGCAGGGCAGCUGUUGACUGUACAGGUACGGGAGCCAUUUACCAGAGGCAUGCCAUAUGUCAUCUGCAGAAAGAGCAGGAAAAGGUACAAUUUAUCAACCGAGCAGAAUACCUGAAUGUGACGGACCAGCGGUUGGGAACAAUGAGGGAGCAUACUGAAAGGGAUGAAGCAUUACAGGCCCUUAAAACCACUGUCCUGGCAGGCUGGCCUGAUGAGAAAGAAAGGACAACACACAUCAUCCGAGAAUACUGGCCUUAUAGAGAUGAGAUAAGUGCGCAAGAUGGUAUUUUGUAUCGUGGUCAGAAAGUCAUUAUCCCCAAAUCACUACGUCCAGAGAUGCUCAAACGCAUACAUCCAAGCCAUAUAGGAGGUGACGCAUGUUAUCGCCAGGCUCGUGACACACUGUAUUGGCCCAGUAUGCAAGCAGAAAUCAAAGACUUUGUGAGUAACUGUUCGACUUGCAAUGAAUUUGCGCACAACCAACAGAAGGAAACCAUGCUAUCUCAUGACAUCCCCAGCAGGCCAUGGCAGAUUGUCAGCAUGGACUUAUUCAGUCACCGGCAAAAGGACUAUCUUAUAAUUGUGGACCAUUUCUCAGACUUUUGGGAGAUUGAACUGCUUCCUGAUCUAUCUGCAGAGACAGUCAUCAAGCGCUGCAAGGCUCAGUUUGCUCGACAUGGCCAGCCAGAGUUAUCACAGAUAAUGGCCCUCAGUUCGGUGCUCCGUUUAAGCGCUUCGCCUCCAGCUGGGAAUUUGAGCAUGUCACUUCUUCACCAAGACAUCCUAAAUCAAAUGGAAAGGCUGAGUCAGCCAUCAAGAUUGCAAAAAACCUUCUGCGCAAAGCCAUGCAUGACAGAACUGACCCUUGGAAAGCAAUACUUUAUUGGAGAAACACCCCAACUGAAAAUAUGGACAGUAGCCCU
This is a long non-coding RNA of Cyprinus carpio (common carp), 1021 nucleotides long. The record is from Ensembl. NCBI's taxonomy places the organism in Eukaryota, Metazoa, Chordata, Actinopteri, Cypriniformes, Cyprinidae.